UGCUGCUGAAGGUGUUAAUGCUCACCACAUAUUCACGAGGCCUACAUUACAAAGGAUCAGCGAAAGAAUUCCCAAACAUGAGAAGAAUUUCUCGAGAUCAAUGGAAUAGGAAGGGCAAAACUAGCCAAAUAUGGUGACCGGGUACUGGAACUGAUCGAGCGUACAAUCAAGGACUUCUACAGUAAGGGCAAGAGACGUCGCACUGGUAGCGGUCAUAAUUCUGGAGCAAACCAGAGAAGUUUAACAGAAUAUUAUAGUUUAGACAAGAGAAGUAGCAGUAGCAGUAGUGGUGAUAGUGGUACUAGUUCUGAGGCAAGCAAGAGGAGAAGAACGUUGACUGGCACAAUCAAGUCAGGGUUCUAAAGUGGAAGAUGAUGGAUUCACCAGUAUACUUGAUUAUUGGAGAAAAGAGCAACAUCAGAUGAAGCUCUAUGAUUAUCCAACUUUGAUGAUUUUAGUGCAGCGAAAUCUGUUCAAUGCAUCAAUCUAUUACCUUCGUGGUCAAAUUUGGGAGAUCAGUUGAUUAUGCACAAUGUCAGCAAGUUGUACGAGCGAUUCUCUUUCAAGGAAUACAUGUGUAUUUAAAGUGUAUGUGUUUGUACAACAGAAUACCACGUUGACGGUUCUGAAAGUUGUAAUCGCUGAAUUUCUUGUAUAGCUUUUUAUGGCAGUGAGUAAUACAACCCUGAUUUGGGGUUUAAAGUAA
This is a long non-coding RNA of Papaver somniferum (opium poppy), 706 nucleotides long. RefSeq lists it as uncharacterized. The transcript has 3 exons. The record is from RefSeq and is a predicted model, not a curated record. Lineage: Eukaryota; Viridiplantae; Streptophyta; Magnoliopsida; Ranunculales; Papaveraceae.